AUAACCAUUUGGAGAGUCGGUGGAUCAUCCAUAAUCCAUUAUGCACCAAUAAUAAUUAUGCAAUUACGCAACAUAUUUGUAUUCUAGAUGCAUGCACUCUAAAUAAAUAUGACAUGAUACAUGAGUAUGAUCAUAAAUUAAAUUUAAAAAGUUUAUAUUUAUUAAGAUUAUAAUUACUCACCGCUUAUAGCCUAUCAACCACCUAACUUGAACGGUAAUCUUAGGAUCCUUAACUUUCUAA
This 241-nucleotide unclassified non-coding RNA is filed under the name Hevea brasiliensis (rubber tree). The record is from RNAcentral. Lineage: Eukaryota; Viridiplantae; Streptophyta; Magnoliopsida; Malpighiales; Euphorbiaceae.